RNAcentral lists this ribosomal RNA (435 nucleotides) under uncultured bacterium. RNAcentral describes it as "partial 16S ribosomal RNA". It matches the Rfam family "Bacterial small subunit ribosomal RNA", at positions 28 to 507 of the family's 1533-position model. The record is from RNAcentral.
GAUGAACGCUGGCGGUAUGCUUAACACAUGCAAGUCGAACGGACUCUUCGGAGUUAGUGGCGGACGGGUGAGUAACGCGUGAGAAUCUGGCUUUGGGUUCGGGACAACCACUGGAAACGGUGGCUAAUACCGGAUGUGCCGAGAGGUAAAAGAGAAAUUGCCUGAAGAUGAGCUCGCGUCUGAUUAGCUAGUUGGUGAGGUAAAGGCUCACCAAGGCAGCGAUCAGUAGCUGGUCUGAGAGGAUGACCAGCCACACUGGGACUGAGACACGGCCCAGACUCCUACGGGAGGCAGCAGUGGGGAAUUGUCCGCAAUGGGCGAAAGCCUGACGGAGCAGUACCGCGUGAGGGAAGAAGGCUCUUGGGUUGUAAACCUCUUUUCUUAGGGAAGAACAAAAUGACGGUACCUAAGGAAUCAGCAUCGGCUAACUCCGUG